UCCGUGUUAACCACGGCAGUCUCCUUAGAGAGCCCAACUGAAUGCUGGCAACUAAGGACAAGGGUUGCGCUCGUUGCGGGACUUAACCCAACAUGUCACCACACGAGCUGACGACAGCCAUGCAGCACCUGUCUUCCUGCGGUAUUGCUACCGAGACCGUAUCUCUACGGCUGUCAGGAGAUGUCAAAUCCAGGUAAGGUUCUUCGCGUUGCUUCGAAUUAAACCACAUCAUCCACCGCUUGUGCGGGCCCCCGUCAAUUCCUUUGAGUUUUAAUCUUGCGACCGUACUCCCCAGGCGGAUGA
RNAcentral lists this unclassified non-coding RNA (303 nucleotides) under uncultured Oligoflexales bacterium. RNAcentral describes it as "contains 16S-23S intergenic spacer region". Lineage: Bacteria; Pseudomonadati; Bdellovibrionota; Oligoflexia; Oligoflexales. The record is from RNAcentral.